CAGUCGCCGCGGGAAUACGAAGGGUGCAAGCGUUAAUCGGAAUUACUGGGCGUAAAGCGUGCGUAGGCGGUUUGUUAAGUCUGUUGUGAAAUCUCCGGGCUCAACCUGGGAAUGGCAAUGGAUACUGGCAAGCUAGAGUGUGUCAGAGGAUGGUGGAAUUCCCGGUGUAGCGGUGAAAUGCGUAGAGAUCGGGAGGAACAUCAGUGGCGAAGGCGGCCAUCUGGGACAACACUGACGCUGAGGCACGAAAGCGUGGGGAGCAAACAGGAUUAGAUACCCCAGUAGUCCCUGUCUCUUAUAC
RNAcentral lists this ribosomal RNA (301 nucleotides) under uncultured bacterium. Its description in RNAcentral is "partial 16S ribosomal RNA". It matches the Rfam family "Bacterial small subunit ribosomal RNA", at positions 509 to 807 of the family's 1533-position model. The record is from RNAcentral.